GCAACUCUGUCGAGUGGCGCACGGGUGAGUAACACGUAGGUAAUCUUCCCUCGAGUGGUGGAUAACCCUCCGAAAGGAGAGCUAAUACAGCAUGAGACCACGGCUUCGAAAGGAGCUGAGGUCAAAGCGGAGGAUCGCAAGACUUCGCGCUUGAGGAUGAGCCUGCGGCCCAUCAGGUAGUUGGCGGGGUAAUGGCCCACCAAGCCAUAGACGGGUAGCUGGUCUGAGAGGAUGAUCAGCCACACUGGAACUGAGACACGGUCCAGACUCCUACGGGAGGCAGCAGUGGGGAAUCUUGCGCAAUGGACGAAAGUCUGACGCAGCGACGCCGCGUGGGUGAUGAAGGCCUUCGGGUUGUAAAGCCCUGUGGGGAGGGACGAAUAAGUUCCGGUUAAUACCCGGAGCGAUGACGGUACCUCCUUAGCAAGCACCGGCUAACUCUGUGCCAGCAGCCGCGGUAAGACAGAGGGUGCAAACGUUGUUCGGAAUUACUGGGCGUAAAGCGCGUGUAGGCGGCUAUGCAAGUCGGAUGUGA
Molecule: ribosomal RNA, 535 nt
Filed under: uncultured bacterium
Lineage: Bacteria
Description: bacterial SSU rRNA
Rfam family: Bacterial small subunit ribosomal RNA
Source: RNAcentral